AAUCAACGCUGGCGGCGUGCCUAACACAUGCAAGUCGAACGCGAAAGCCCCGCAAGGGGUUAGUAGAGUGGCAAACGGGUGAGUAACACGUGGGUGACCUGCCUUAGAGUGGGGGAUAACGUCCCGAAAGGGACGCUAAUACCGCAUAACAUCCUGCCUUUGAAGAGGUGGAGAUCAAAGCCGGGGACCGCAAGGCCUGGCGCUCAAAGAGGGGCCCGCGCCUGAUUAGCUAGUUGGUGAGGAAUGGCUCACCAAGGCAACGAUCAGUAUCCGGCCUGAGAGGGCGGACGGACACACUGGGACUGAGACACGGCCCAGACUCCUACGGGAGGCAGCAGGUGGGGAAUUGUUCGCAAGUGGGCGCAAGCCUGACGACGCAACGCCGCGUGGAGGAUGAA
This 398-nucleotide ribosomal RNA is filed under the name uncultured bacterium. Its description in RNAcentral is "bacterial SSU rRNA". It matches the Rfam family "Bacterial small subunit ribosomal RNA", at positions 29 to 412 of the family's 1533-position model. The record is from RNAcentral.